Molecule: ribosomal RNA, 497 nt
Filed under: uncultured bacterium
Lineage: Bacteria
Description: partial 16S ribosomal RNA
Rfam family: Bacterial small subunit ribosomal RNA
Source: RNAcentral
GAUGAACGCUGGCGGCGUGCCUAAUACAUGCAAGUCGAGCGAACGGACGAGAAGCUUGCUUCUCUGAUGUUAGCGGCGGACGGGUGAGUAACACGUGGAUAACCUACCUAUAAGACUGGGAUAACUUCGGGAAACCGUAGCUAAUACCGGAUAAUAUUUUGAACCGCAUGGUUCAAAAGUGAAAGACGGUCUUGCUGUCACUUAUAGAUGGAUCCGCGCUGCAUUAGCUAGUUGGUAAGGUAACGGCUUACCAAGGCAACGAUGCAUAGCCGACCUGAGAGGGUGGUCGGCCACACUGGAACUGAGACACGGUCCCGACUCCUACGGGAGGCAGCAGUAGGGAAUCUUCCGCAAUGGGCGAAUGCCUGACGGAGCAACGCCGCGUGAGUGAUGAAGGUCUUCGGAUCGUAAAACUCUGUUAUUAGGGAAGAACAUAUGUGUAAGUAACUGUGCACAUCUUGACGGUACCUAAUCAGAAAGCCACGGCUAACUACGUG